Molecule: ribosomal RNA, 253 nt
Filed under: uncultured bacterium
Lineage: Bacteria
Description: partial 16S ribosomal RNA
Rfam family: Bacterial small subunit ribosomal RNA
Source: RNAcentral
GACGAACCGUGCGAACGUUGUUCGGAAUCACUGGGCUUAAAGGGCGCGUAGGCGGGUCUCCAAGUCCGGGGUGAAAUCCUCCCGCUCAACGGGAGAAGGGCCUUGGAUACUGGGGACCUCGAGGGGGGUAGGGGCAUGCGGAACGCUGGGUGGAGCGGUGAAAUGCGUUGAUAUCCAGCGGAACUCCGGUGGCGAAGGCGGCGUGCUGGACCCCUUCUGACGCUGAGGCGCGAAAGCCAGGGGAGCGAACGGG